GUGCUUGCUUUAGCAGCACAUAUACUAAAAAUUGGAAUGAUACAGAGAAGAUUAGCAUGGCCCCUGUGCAAAGAUUAUAUACAAAUUUGGAAUGCAUUCUAUGUUUUU
Small nuclear RNA from Monodelphis domestica (gray short-tailed opossum), 108 nucleotides. NCBI's taxonomy places the organism in Eukaryota, Metazoa, Chordata, Mammalia, Didelphimorphia, Didelphidae. The record is from Ensembl.